This 402-nucleotide ribosomal RNA is filed under the name bacterium. RNAcentral describes it as "partial 16S ribosomal RNA". It matches the Rfam family "Bacterial small subunit ribosomal RNA", at positions 355 to 776 of the family's 1533-position model. The record is from RNAcentral.
UGGGGAAUUUUGCACAAUGGGGGAAACCCUGAUGCAGCGACGCCGCGUGAUUUAGAAGGCCUUCGGGUUGUAAAAAUCUUUUUUACGGGAUGAAAAUGACAGUACCGUAAGAAUAAGGUCCGGCUAAAUACGUGCCAGCAGCCGCGGUAAUACGUAUGGACCGAGCGUUGUCCGGAAUCAUUGGGCGUAAAGGGUACGUAGGCGGCCUAAUAAGUUAGAAGUGAAAGAAUAUAGCUCAACUAUAUAAAGCUUUUAAAACUGUUAGGCUUGAGAGAUGAAAGGGAAAGUGGAAUUCCUAGUGUAGCGGUGAAAUGCGCAGAUAUUAGGAAGAAUACCGGUGGCGAAGGCGACUUUCUGGUCAUCAUCUGACGCUGGGGUACGAAAGCGUGGGUAGCAAACAGG